AAGAAGAUACAUUAAGGUUUUACACUUCUUAAGCAGAAUAAAGUUGAUUGCUCAUGAGUGUUGAAGAUUGAAGUUUUCAAUCUUCUUUUAUUCAUGCACCUAUUUUAUUCUUUGUUAUUCCUUUAUGUUUUGUUGAUCUUCUUGAUCAGAUUCACUCUACUCUCACACACACUUAACCCUUCUAGUUAUAUUUUCCACUUUGUGUGUGUUUCUUUCACCUGUGUUUUUUGUGUAACACA
RNAcentral lists this long non-coding RNA (239 nucleotides) under Lathyrus oleraceus (garden pea). Its description in RNAcentral is "Pisum sativum (pea) long non-coding RNA (PSAT_LNC034562)". Lineage: Eukaryota; Viridiplantae; Streptophyta; Magnoliopsida; Fabales; Fabaceae. The record is from RNAcentral.